AUAUUUAGAAAUACUACCCUAAAAAAGCUCAAUUUCAUCUGAUCCUGGAAAUUAAGCAGGGCUGGGCUUGAAUAGUACAUGGAUAAU
Molecule: ribosomal RNA, 87 nt
Filed under: Microtus ochrogaster (prairie vole)
Lineage: Eukaryota; Metazoa; Chordata; Mammalia; Rodentia; Cricetidae
Source: RNAcentral